RNAcentral lists this ribosomal RNA (384 nucleotides) under uncultured eukaryote. RNAcentral's name for it is "SSU rRNA". It matches the Rfam family "Eukaryotic small subunit ribosomal RNA", at positions 587 to 972 of the family's 1831-position model. The record is from RNAcentral.
AGCUCCAAUAGCGUAUAUUAAAGUUUUUGCAGUUAAAAAGCUCGUAGUUGAACUUGUGGCCUGGAUGGCUUGGUCUGAUGCUUAUUCGUGAGUACCUGAGCCAUCCGACCAUCCUUGGGUGGAACCUGUGUGGCAUUAAGUUGUCGUGUAGGGGAUGCCCAUCGUUUACUCUGAAAAAAAUAGAGUGUCCAAAGCAGGCUUAUGCCUUUGAAUAUAUUAGCAUGGAAUAAUGAUAUAGGACUUUGGUACUAUUUUGUUGGUUUGUGCACUAAAAUAAUGAUUAAUAGGGACAGUUGGGGAUAUUAGUAUUUUUAGAUCAGAGGUGAAAUUCUUGGAUUCUUUAAAGACUAACAGCUGCGAAAGCAUUUAUCAAGGAUGUUUUCA